UACGAAGGGGGCUAGCGUUGUUCGGAUUUACUGGGCGUAAAGCGCACGUAGGCGGAUCGUUAAGUCGGGGGUGAAAUCCUGGAGCUCAACUCCAGAACUGCCUUCGAUACUGGCGAUCUCGAGUCCGGAAGAGGUGAGUGGAACUCCUAGUGUAGAGGUGAAAUUCGUAGAUAUUAGGAAGAACACCAGUGGCGAAGGCGGCUCACUGGCCCGGUACUGACGCUGAGGCGCGAAAGCGUGGGGAGCAAACAGG
RNAcentral lists this ribosomal RNA (253 nucleotides) under uncultured bacterium. RNAcentral describes it as "partial 16S ribosomal RNA". It matches the Rfam family "Bacterial small subunit ribosomal RNA", at positions 524 to 776 of the family's 1533-position model. The record is from RNAcentral.